UACGGAGGGUGCGAGCGUUGUCCGGAAUCAUUGGGCGUAAAGGGCGCGUAGGUGGCCCCUCAAGCGUGCGGUGAAAGUCAGGGGCUCAACCCCUGAUCGGCCGUGCGAACUGGGGAGCUUGAGCACUGUAGAGGCAGGCGGAAUUCCGGGUGUAGCGGUGAAAUGCGCAGAUAUCAGGAGGAACACCGGUGGCGAAGGCGGCUCACUGGCUCAUUACUGACGCUCAGGCGCGAUAGCGUGGGGAUCAAACAGG
RNAcentral lists this ribosomal RNA (253 nucleotides) under uncultured bacterium. RNAcentral's name for it is "partial 16S ribosomal RNA". It matches the Rfam family "Bacterial small subunit ribosomal RNA", at positions 524 to 776 of the family's 1533-position model. The record is from RNAcentral.